UCCAGACUCCUACGGGAGGCAGCAGUGGGGAAUAUUGCACAAUGGGGGGAACCCUGAUGCAGCGACGCCGCGUGGGUGAAGGAGCGUUUCGGCGCGUAAAGCCCUAUCGGCAGGGAAGAAGGAGGACGGUACCUGACUAAGAAGCCCCGGCUAACUACGUGCCAGCAGCCGCGGUAAUACGUAGGGGGCAAGCGUUAUCCGGAUUUACUGGGUGUAAAGGGGGCGCAGACGGCAGCGCAAGCCAGGAGUGAAAGCCCGGGGCCCAACCCCGGGACUGCUCUUGGAACUGCGCGGCUGGAGUGCAGGAGGGGCAGGCGGAAUUCCUGGUGUAGCGGUGAAAUGCGUAGAUAUCAGGAGGAACACCGGUGGCGAAGGCGGCCUGCUGGACUGCGAUUGACGUUGAGGCCCGAAAGCGUGGGGAGCAAACAGGAUUAGAUACCCUAGUAU
RNAcentral lists this ribosomal RNA (447 nucleotides) under uncultured bacterium. Its description in RNAcentral is "bacterial SSU rRNA". It matches the Rfam family "Bacterial small subunit ribosomal RNA", at positions 330 to 793 of the family's 1533-position model. The record is from RNAcentral.